CGCUAUCACUCCUACGGGAGGCAGCAGUAGGGAAUCUUCCACAAUGGGCGCAAGCCUGAUGGAGCAACACCGCGUGAGUGAAGAAGGGUUUCGGCUCGUAAAGCUCUGUUGUUAAAGAAGAACACGUAUGAGAGUAACUGUUCAUACGUUGACGGUAUUUAACCAGAAAGUCACGGCUAACUACGUGCCAGCAGCCGCGGUAAUACGUAGGUGGCAAGCGUUAUCCGGAUUUAUUGGGCGUAAAGAGAGUGCAGGCGGUUUUCUAAGUCUGAUGUGAAAGCCUUCGGCUUAACCGGAGAAGUGCAUCGGAAACUGGAUAACUUGAGUGCAGAAGAGGGUAGUGGAACUCCAUGUGUAGCGGUGGAAUGCGUAGAUAUAUGGAAGAACACCAGUGGCGAAGGCGGCUACCUGGUCUGCAACUGACGCUGAGACUCGAAAGCAUGGGUAGCGGACAGGAUUAGAUACCCUGGUAG
Molecule: ribosomal RNA, 473 nt
Filed under: uncultured bacterium
Lineage: Bacteria
Description: bacterial SSU rRNA
Rfam family: Bacterial small subunit ribosomal RNA
Source: RNAcentral